Molecule: ribosomal RNA, 454 nt
Filed under: uncultured Rikenellaceae bacterium
Lineage: Bacteria; Pseudomonadati; Bacteroidota; Bacteroidia; Bacteroidales; Rikenellaceae
Description: partial 16S ribosomal RNA
Rfam family: Bacterial small subunit ribosomal RNA
Source: RNAcentral
ACGGAAGGCAGCAGUGAGGAAUAUUGGUCAAUGGACGCAAGUCUGAACCAGCCAUGCCGCGUGCAGGAAUAAGGCCCUAUGGGUCGUAAACUGCUUUUGUGGUGGAGCAAUAAGUCGUACGUGUACGGCGAUGAGAGUACAUCACGAAUAAGCAUCGGCUAACUCCGUGCCAGCAGCCGCGGUAAUACGGAGGAUGCAAGCGUUAUCCGGAUUUAUUGGGUUUAAAGGGUGCGUAGGCUGUGGUCCAAGUCAGGGGUGAAAGCCCGGAGCUCAACUCCGGAACUGCCUUUGAUACUGGAUUGCUGGAAUACGGAUGCCGUGGGAGGAAUGAGUAGUGUAGCGGUGAAAUGCAUAGAUAUUACUCAGAACACCGAUUGCGAAGGCAUCACACGAAUCCGUCAUUGACGCUGAGGCACGAAAGCGUGGGGAUCAAACAGGAUUAGAUACCCUGGUA